UCUUUCAGAGGAGGGAAUUUUUUCUUCGAAAUGCCACAAAGGAAGCACAAUGGAUUCCUGUGAACGUGUCCGUGGAGUGCAGCAGUUCCUGUGUGGCGAGUUUAUGAUUUACAAACAUCACUGACAGAGAAGAAGAAAGAAGAAAAAGGAGCACUUGGCAGGCGCUUUAGGCCAAGAGGGGACGAUUUACCGUGCUAUGAUCUCAGUCCAUGAUGAAGGCUUUUUUACUGCUGCUUGUAAUCUCUUUUUCUUCUUUGACCUUCACCGCCAGCACAGCUCUCCCCAAACACACACAUACACAAACAUUUUUUUAAAACAGAAAAUAGAAAUACCUCCUGUCAGUGACAUUCAUGAGUUCAUGAAUUACUCUCUGAGCAGUCAUAGAGAAAACUGGAAUCUGCAUGGGUUUAUUUUCUGUCCCACAAAUAGACUCAUGAUCAGAUUCAAAAGUAGUGUCGUAUUUCUCUUCUUUCAGCCCUUGUUUUUUUUUAAACUUAAUUGCAUUAAACUGAGAUCAUAAAAAGUCAAGCCAAAGUUAAAUGUCCAAUUCAUGUCUCUGAGGUUAAGCUCUACUUUUUUUGCGCUCCAUAAUUUCCUGUUAGCGAGCAAGGCAGACAUGUAGUAAAGCAGGGCUCAUCUGGACUGCAGUCUCUGGCUGUGGAUGCCAAGAACCCCUGGCCUGCAUACCAAGGGAAGAUGAGACAGGAUGGAGCAGACGAGGGAGAGGCAUCAAACGCACCGCCCGGCAUUUCAAACACCGCAGCGGGCUGAGGUUCCUCACCAGCCUCUGAGGAUGAAACACCAGCGUGGAUGUGAUCCUUUGUAUGCGUAAAGUAUUAGUACGGUGGCCCUAAGAGGCUUAACUGCAGGUCAUAAUAACUAUAAAUAAGGGAAUAAGACUCACAAAUGGAGGAAGGGGGAGUGAAGGAAAAGCUUUUGCACUUGCUGGCUGGGAGGGAGGUGAACUCUGAAACAGGACUGGUUUACUAAAGAGUGUUUUAGUUAAAUUUAUUAUAAAGACCAACACUGAUGAAAAUCAUGUUUUUCUUGUUGUCCACAUGUUCAAAUGGCAUUUUUCUGAUACUAGAGGACAUAUCAUGAGAAAAAGAAGUGUGGAAUUUUAUUUCUGAGUAUUUCUGCAUGUAAAUCAUUAUGAAUCUCUGGCAGACCCGAACGGCAGGAUCAGAUACAGUGAGAUACAGUUAGCCCCGCUAUGCAGGCCGGGCUCAGAGAAAUAGAGACGACAACCGCGGAACAAGCAUGUGCGUUAGCGGAUUGAAAUGCUUGUAAGAAAGUUAAUGAUGCAAUUAGCUCACAUCAUGCCCCUAAAGGCAAUGGUGUCCGGGAGCUUAAUAGCUUAUAUUACCUGUGUCUUCUACUGCAACGGCAAUGUUACCUGGGAUUUCCACCGCAUCCAGAGCGGCUCCGAUCUGGAACGGGGGCGAUGCUUGCCGUACGCCAAUCCCUAUCCGGUCUGUUUGUGAGACAAAUUUUGUGGUGGAUACAGACAGCAGGAAUCGUAAGAACUCAUGAGAACCCGUGGAUUCACAUGCAAUUGCAUGAUAAUAAGUUGUCUUUAGCCACAUAGGCUAACCAUAUAAGCAGUAGAUUGUGUUCUGCCAGAGGAGGAAAUCUACUUCUAGACUUAUGAAAUCAGCAUCCUCUCAUCUUUGGUGUCAUCAGGGUGAAAUGCCGUCUAUAAACCUUUCACUUGUUCUUCCCCGCCCGUUUGCAUAGUGUGAAAUACGAUCCGCCUGAAACAGAGAGUGUUUUAUUUUGAAAAGAAGCCGGAUGUUUUAUUUUGUGUCUGUGCAUGACUUCCUUUCCAGCACAGGUUAAUCUGUGCUGAAUUUAUUCGGCAUGCUCCGGCGUCUGGAAAAAAUAGUACUCUUGCGAUCUGCAGCGGAACGGAAAGAAGCCAAUAAAAAUUGACACAUUAACUUGAAUGAUUACAAUCAGGUACGAUCGCCGGAUACGGCCUUUUUCGAAGCCAGGGGAGUGUAAAGGGCAGAACUGUCUCCGCCCACAAUUCAGAGGUGAAUUGCUAAUGAGCAACUGUAGCUCUGCAGAAGAAAAGCCCUUGAAAACGACACAGGUAACGUGAUUUUGGCUAAAAACGUCAUAAUCCCAGUUUAAAGAGCACUGGUAACACUUAAAGUAGUAAAAAAAAACAAAAAAACAAUUGGAGUGGGACUUUAACGCUUCUGUUAAUACUUUAAAUUUAAACCCUCUUGCAGAUGAUAAAGCAAAACAAAAAUCCACAGCAGCUACAUCAAUAGUGGUCCACCUCUGUUUUCCAGGAAAGUAAAGGAAACAUAUAAGCAGUUUCAAGUCUUCCAAAACCUUUGACUCUGUUUUCCCUGCCUCCCGUGUUUGCAGGCGACUCCAACUCUCUCGCAGAAUUAGUCAUCACCCUUGAAACCUGCAUUAAAUCAUGAAGUAGAUAAUAAAAUUGCAAAUAUGCAAAAUUUAAGAAGGAACAGGAAAUUAGAUACAGCAGAUGAGGAAAACUGGUGUCAUGACAAACACUGUUUUAUUAAAGCUGUUGCACAUUUUGAGUAAAACGGCUCUGAUUUAAAAUUUAUAGUUUUGUUCCUCGUCUCCAAUUUUUCCACACUCAUAACAUACACAGCCAUAACCUGCCGCUCCUCACACCUGACUGAGUUGUCCAACCACUUAAUGGUUCACACGUGCCGCAGUCUGUAUUGGCAGUUGGUCUAAGUCCCUCUCUACUCCCCAGGGCCAGGUCUAGUAAAAAAAAAAAAAAGGCCUCUAUAAAUAAGGCCAACUGUUUCUCUGGAGCCUAUAAAUCUGACAGAGCUGGAUUUUUCUCCAUUGUGGCAUCUGGCGUCAUUUGUCACAUAUGUGGUGAGCAAUUAGGUAAAAAGGAAAAGCAGGAAACCCAGCGGAGGCUGCGUUGGCUGGUGCCAGCAAGCCGCAGAGAGACCACGAAGCAGAGGCAGGAGAGGAGAGCCGGAGAAAGUGAAAAAUGUCAGGAAAAAAAAAAAAAGUAUUGGGUCUGGGGGAUGACAUCACUGCUUUUGAGUCAAUGAUGUGGUUUGAGACCCUUGUUAAGGAGAUUGAGCUUAGAUUGCUUUUAAAGUCCUUAGCUCUUAUAAUCUGUGGAUAUCGACCUUGAGUCUGAACUCCCAGACAAAGAGAUGGGAUUCCAUUACAGGCAGAAAUACACAAACCUACAUACACACAAUGGGAGCAUACAUGCCACUGCUGCUACACAGACCACCUCACAUAUGGCGUUUAAUCCUGUUGACAUUUCUUGAGAAUGCAAUGACAUUUCAGACACAAGAGGUCUAAUUGUGCAGCAUUUCCUGCAAGACGUGAGCACAACUGAGCAUGAACCAAAAGCUAAAACAGGUCUUCCUGUGUCACACCCGAUUAAUUCGUGUUUCCAGUUGUAGAAGACUUGAGCUACAUUUUAAAAUCUAUGAAAACACCGUCUGCUAACUAUAUAUUCUGUCAUCCUGGAAGUACAACAGAAUCUUAAACACUGUUAUGAUAUUUUGAUUACAGGUCUGCUAACUUUCCACAUUUUCUGAGGUGACUUUUAAAACAGUCAGGACAGAUAUAACCACUCUGGCUCCGAAAACUCCUCUGCAGCUCUUCCUCCACCUAAACCCAAUGGGAGUCUAAUUGCUGCAUCUGUUUCCCGUCACAAUAUAACCACAAUUAGGAGGUUUCGCAGCGCAGGGGUCAAACAAGAGAGCUACCGUCCAAACAGAAACUCUAUUCCACUCGCUAAUGAUUGUAGACAGAACAGGACGCGAGUCAGACUUGAAGUACAGGA
This 3805-nucleotide long non-coding RNA is filed under the name Xyrichtys novacula (pearly razorfish). Lineage: Eukaryota; Metazoa; Chordata; Actinopteri; Labriformes; Labridae. The record is from RNAcentral.